Molecule: long non-coding RNA, 378 nt
Organism: Cyanistes caeruleus (blue tit)
Lineage: Eukaryota; Metazoa; Chordata; Aves; Passeriformes; Paridae
Source: RefSeq, a predicted model, not a curated record
GGUAUCAAAGGAAAAAAGAGACAUUUCAGGCUGAGAAUGAGAGCUGCAGAAAGCCCUGAUUAAGAAAGUGUCACUGCGAGUCUGAUGAAGGAAUGAGAGGGCACAGCCUGGAGUUAAAUAUCAAAGUACAGACAGUUCACAAAGCAAUCGGUGUAAAGGACAUUAAUCAAGUUGGCGCCAAGAGGUCUAUUCACAAGAUCUCCUCCCUAACAAGGACCACUCCCUCUGGAGGGAGGAAUCUUCCACGCUGUUGCUGGGAUGGGAUCCACCUGGACUGAUUCUUAAAUGGCUCUGCUUCAACCCCUUCCCUGCCUUGCAGCCAGCAGAGCCCUCUGAAGCUCCAGGAACAGAAAACUGGGGUUGAAUUAAUCGCCCGUG